GAUGCGAUGGCCGAGCGGUCUAAGGCGCUGGAAUUAGGCUCCAGUCUAUUUAUAGGCAGGGGUUCGAAUCCCUUUCGCAUUA
Molecule: transfer RNA, 82 nt
Filed under: Ecytonucleospora hepatopenaei
Lineage: Eukaryota; Fungi; Microsporidia; Enterocytozoonidae
Description: Enterocytozoon sp. ST-2009a tRNA
Rfam family: tRNA
About the family: Transfer RNA (tRNA) molecules are approximately 80 nucleotides in length. Their secondary structure includes four short double-helical elements and three loops (D, anti-codon, and T loops).
Source: Rfam by way of RNAcentral